This 311-nucleotide unclassified non-coding RNA is filed under the name uncultured Agaricales. RNAcentral's name for it is "sequence contains 5.8S rRNA gene, ITS2, 28S rRNA gene". The stretch from base 1 to 52 matches the Rfam family "5.8S ribosomal RNA", at positions 103 to 154 of the family's 154-position model. Lineage: Eukaryota; Fungi; Basidiomycota; Agaricomycetes; Agaricales. The record is from RNAcentral.
AACGCACCUUGCGCUCCUUGGUAUUCCGAGGAGCAUGCCUGUUUGAGUGUCAUUAAAUUCUCAACUCCUCCAGCUUUUGUUUGAGUUGGAUUUGGAGCUUGGAUGUGGAGGUCUGCCGGCCCUUCUAUUUGACUGGGUUCAGCUCCUCUGAAAUGCAUUAGCGGAACCGUUUGCAAUCCGCCACAGGUGUGAUAAUUAUCUACGCCAGUGGGUUGCUCUCUGUGUCGUUCAGCUGCCAAUCGUCUCUGCUUCAAGAGACAAUUUUCUGAUUACUUGACCUCAAAUCAGGUAGGACUACCCGCUGAACUUAA